CCUACGGGAGGCAGCAGUGAGGAAUAUUGGUCAAUGGACGAGAGUCUGAACCAGCCAAGUAGCGUGAAGGAUGACUGCCCUAUGGGUUGUAAACUUCUUUUAUAUGGGAAUAAAAUGUUCCACGUGUGGGAUUUUGUAUGUACCAUAUGAAUAAGGAUCGGCUAAUUCCGUGCCAGCAGCCGCGGUAAUACGGAGGAUCCGAGCGUUAUCCGGAUUUAUUGGGUUUAAAGGGAGCGUAGGUGGAUUGUUAAGUCAGUUGUGAAAGUUUGCGGCUCAACCGUAAAAUUGCAGUUGAAACUGGCAGGCUUGAGUACAGUAGAGGUGGGCGGAAUUCGUGGUGUAGCGGUGAAAUGCUUAGAUAUCACGAAGAACUCCGAUUGCGAAGGCAGCUCACUGGACUGCAACUGACACUGAGGCUCGAAAGUGUGGGUAUCAAACAGGAUUAGAUACCCCGGUAGUC
Molecule: ribosomal RNA, 460 nt
Filed under: uncultured bacterium
Lineage: Bacteria
Description: partial 16S ribosomal RNA
Rfam family: Bacterial small subunit ribosomal RNA
Source: RNAcentral